Triticum dicoccoides is the source of this 734-nucleotide long non-coding RNA. RefSeq lists it as uncharacterized. The record is from RefSeq and is a predicted model, not a curated record. The transcript is spliced from 2 exons. NCBI's taxonomy places the organism in Eukaryota, Viridiplantae, Streptophyta, Magnoliopsida, Poales, Poaceae.
AUCCAGGCGAGAGUGCAUGCAUGCCGGCACCAGCGCCCCUCCCCGCCGACGGUGGCCACCACCACCUGCGUCGUGGCCAGCCCCGUUGCGAGCGCCCCCUCCCCUCCCCUUCCCUUCCCAUGACUCCGGCGCGAUCCUCUGAUCUCCACGGGGACCUGCGCCGCCCAAAUUCGCCUCACAUGCAUGUCGUUCCAGUGUACUGGCGGCGAUCCAUGAUCCAGCGGCUGUUGGGCUACUUUUCCUCCGCCAACAUCCGCGGUGCCGCCAAGCCGGCCCUGUUCUGUCUCCUCCUCCCUCUGGGAGGCCCGUGUCCGACAGUUGCAGGCUGUCAACGCUGGAUGUGCCAAACCUCCACCCCAUCAGGUGGAGAGUUUGAUCCCGAGCAGUGAUGAUUUUAUUUUUGCCUCCUCUGCUAGGAGGCAGAGGAACGGAGAGUGGCGGCAACGGCAGCCGCCGGUGCGAUGACGAGAACCCAGGGGUGGACACGGGAGAUCGGGUGCUCGCGCGAAGCCUCCUGCAGCACGGUCGCUCACGAGCCCACCCGGAGCUGUCCUCCCCGUGAAGGGCGCCGCCCCGCUGCACUGGAAAGGAAGCUGUCUGGAUGAAGAAAGGAUCGCGGGCUGAAUUCUUACGAACAUAGGGGUGUUUCUGUAAAAAUGAAUCGUUUUUGCAGAUUCACUUAAACAGGGAAUGCGGGUUAAUUUAUCAAAAAUGGGGGGACUUUUUUGUAAAAA